AUACGGAGGGUGCAAGCGUUAAUCGGAAUUACUGGGCGUAAAGCGCACGCAGGCGGUCUGUCAAGUCGGAUGUGAAAUCCCCGGGCUCAACCUGGGAACUGCAUUCGAAACUGGCAGGCUUGAGUCUCGUAGAGGGGGGUAGAAUUCCAGGUGUAGCGGUGAAAUGCGUAGAGAUCUGGAGGAAUACCGGUGGCGAAGGCGGCCCCCUGGACGAAGACUGACGCUCAGGUGCGAAAGCGUGGGGAGCAAACAGGAUUAGAUACCCUGGUAGUCCACGCCGUAAACGAUGUCUAUUUGGAGGUUGUGCCCUUGAGGCGUGGCUUCCGGAGCUAACGCAUUAAGUACUCCGCCUGGGAAGUACGGUCGCAAGACUAAA
Molecule: ribosomal RNA, 376 nt
Filed under: uncultured bacterium
Lineage: Bacteria
Description: bacterial SSU rRNA
Rfam family: Bacterial small subunit ribosomal RNA
Source: RNAcentral